AUUGAACGCUGGCGGCAGGCCUAACACAUGCAAGUCGAACGAGUGGCGGACGGGUGAGUAAUGUCUGGGAAACUGCCUGAUGGAGGGGGAUAACUACUGGAAACGGUAGCUAAUACCGCAUACAAUCAGUUGUCCCAAGAUGUGAUGAGCUUGUUGGUGGGGUAACGGCGCACCAAGGGGACGAUCCAUAGCUGGUCGGAGAGGAGGACAAGACAAACUGGAACUGAGACAAGGUCCAGACGCCUAAGGGAGGGAGCAGUGGGGAAGAUUGCACAAUGGGCGCAAGCCUGAGGCAGCCAUGCCGCGUGUAUGAAGAAGGCCUUCGGGUUGUAAAGUACUUUCAGCGGGGAGGCGUUACCCGCAGAAGAAGCACCGGCUAACUCCGUGCCAGCAGCCGCGGUAAUAC
RNAcentral lists this ribosomal RNA (406 nucleotides) under uncultured bacterium. Its description in RNAcentral is "partial 16S ribosomal RNA". It matches the Rfam family "Bacterial small subunit ribosomal RNA", at positions 29 to 526 of the family's 1533-position model. The record is from RNAcentral.